GCUAUCUGCAGUCGAGGGGCAGCGCAGGUAGCAAUACUGGGCGGCGACCGGCAAACGGGUGCGGAACACGUACGUAACCUUCCUUUAAGUGGGAGAUAGCCCGAAGAAAUUCGGAUUAAUACCCCAUAAGAUUGUAGAGUGGCAUCACUAAGCAAUUAAAGAAUUUCGCUUAAAGAUGGGCGUGCGGCUGAUUAGGUAGUUGGUGAGGUAACGGCUCACCAAGCCAACGAUCAGUAACUGGCGUGAGAGCGCGACCAGUCACACGGGCACUGAGACACGGGCCCGACUCCUACGGGAGGCAGCAGUAAGGAAUAUUGGUCAAUGGACGCAAGUCUGAACCAGCCAUGCCGCGUGAAGGAUGAAGGUCCUCUGGAUUGUAAACUUCUUUUAUAUGGGAAGAAACCACUUUUUUCUAAGGGUGUUGACGGUACCAUAGGAAUAAGCACCGGCUAACUCCGUGCCAGCAGCCGCGGUAAUACGGAGGGUGCAAGCGUUAUCCGGAUUCACUGGGUUUAAAGGGUGCGUAGGCGGAUUAGUAAGUCCGUGGUGAAAUCUCCGAGCUUAACUCGGAAACUGCCGUGGAUACUAUUAAUCUUGAAUGUUGUGGAGGUUAGCGGAAUAUGUCAUGUAGCGGUGAAAUGCAUAGAUAUGACAUAGAACACCAAUUGCGAAGGCAGCUGGCUACACAAAUAUUGACGCUGAUGCACGAAAGCGUGGGGAUCAAACAGGAUUAGAUACCCUGGUAGUCCACGCCCUAAACGAUGAUUACUCGACAUUUGCGAUAUACAGUAAGUGUCUGAGCGAAAGCAUUAAGUAAUCCACCUGGGAAGUACGACCGCAAGGUUGAAACU
RNAcentral lists this ribosomal RNA (851 nucleotides) under uncultured bacterium. RNAcentral's name for it is "bacterial SSU rRNA". It matches the Rfam family "Bacterial small subunit ribosomal RNA", at positions 50 to 901 of the family's 1533-position model. The record is from RNAcentral.